UGUGUAGGCGGCUUCGUAAGUUCGGUGUGAAAUCUCCCGGCUUAACUGGGAGGGUGCGCCGAAAACUGCGAAGCUGGAGCGCAGGAGAGGAAAGCAGAAUUCCUGGUGUAGCGGUGAAAUGCGUAGAUAUCAGGAGGAAUACCGGUGGUGAAGGCGGCUUUCUGGACUGCUGCUGACGCUGAUACACGAAAGCGUGGGGAGCAAACA
RNAcentral lists this ribosomal RNA (207 nucleotides) under uncultured bacterium. Its description in RNAcentral is "partial 16S ribosomal RNA". It matches the Rfam family "Bacterial small subunit ribosomal RNA", at positions 568 to 774 of the family's 1533-position model. The record is from RNAcentral.